This 253-nucleotide ribosomal RNA is filed under the name uncultured bacterium. Its description in RNAcentral is "partial 16S ribosomal RNA". It matches the Rfam family "Bacterial small subunit ribosomal RNA", at positions 524 to 776 of the family's 1533-position model. The record is from RNAcentral.
UACGGAGGGAGCUAGCGUUGUUCGGAUAUACUGGGCGUAAAGCGCACGUAGGCGGCGCCGUAAGUCAGGGGUGAAAUCCCGGAGCUCAACUCCGGAACUGCCCUUGAAACUGCAGUGCUAGAAUUCUGGAGAGGCGAGUGGAAUUCCGAGUGUAGAGGUGAAAUUCGUAGAUAUCAGGAAGAACACCCGUGGCGAAGGCGGCUCUCUGGGACGGUACUGGCGCUGAGACGCGAAAGCGUGGGGAGCGAACAGG